CCUACGGGCGGCAGCAGUGAGGAAUAUUGGUCAAUGGGCGAAAGCCUGAACCAGCCAAGUCGCGUGAAGGAUGACUGCCCUAUGGAUUGUAAACUUCUUUUAUCUGGGAAUAACGCCGCCCAUGCGUGGGCUGAUGAAUGUACCCGAAGAACAAGCAUCGGCUAACUCCGUGCCAGCAGCCGCGGUAAUACGGAAGGUCCGAGCGUUAUCCGGAUUUAUUGGGGUUAAAGGGAGCUGAGGGGGGAUGUCAAUGCAGCUGGUAAAAUUGCGGGCUCAACCGUCGUACAGCAGUUGAAACUGGCAGUCUUGAGUAGACGAGAAGUAUGCGGAAGGCGUGGUGUAGCGGUGAAAUGCAUAGAUAUCACGAAGAACUCCGAUUGCGAAGGCAGCAUACUGGAGCGCUACUGACGCUGAGGCACGAAAGCGUGGGUAUCGAACAGGAUUAGAUACCCCAGUAGUC
This 460-nucleotide ribosomal RNA is filed under the name uncultured bacterium. RNAcentral describes it as "partial 16S ribosomal RNA". It matches the Rfam family "Bacterial small subunit ribosomal RNA", at positions 338 to 795 of the family's 1533-position model. The record is from RNAcentral.